This is a small nucleolar RNA of Vulpes vulpes (red fox), 134 nucleotides long. Ensembl annotates it as small nucleolar RNA, H/ACA box 64. The record is from Ensembl. NCBI's taxonomy places the organism in Eukaryota, Metazoa, Chordata, Mammalia, Carnivora, Canidae.
ACUCUCUCAGCUCUGCAUGGUCAUGCUUGCUGUCACACGCGUGGCUUUCGUAAAGGGGAGAGAGAGAAAGGAUCUCUUCCGGACCUCAGGGUGGCCUUACUGUGGCCACUCUUUCCUGGAGGGGUGCCACAGGU